Small nuclear RNA from Pongo abelii (Sumatran orangutan), 107 nucleotides. Lineage: Eukaryota; Metazoa; Chordata; Mammalia; Primates; Hominidae. The record is from Ensembl.
AUGCUCACUUCAGCAGCACAUAUACUAAAAUUGGAAUGAUACAGAGAAGAUUAACAUGGCCCCUGCACAAGGAUGACAUGCAAAUUCAGGAAGUGUUCCAUAUUAAA